RNAcentral lists this unclassified non-coding RNA (3785 nucleotides) under Acanthaster planci (crown-of-thorns starfish). RNAcentral describes it as "uncharacterized LOC110987608, transcript variant X1". Lineage: Eukaryota; Metazoa; Echinodermata; Asteroidea; Valvatida; Acanthasteridae. The record is from RNAcentral.
UAUAUCCUGCCAUGCCUGAGCCGGCGCGCAGCCCGAGCAGUGACAAUUCGACAAGUGUGGAACUUUGCGAUCUUCGGAAUCCGGGAAACGUCUCGAUUACUAAUUAUUUUUGCGAACACCUACGUCAGUGAUUUGACUUAAAGCCGUGGUUGCAGUAUCGCACACGUUUGAGCUUUGAUGCCUCCAGUGAUGGAUAAAACAGCAGAAGACAAACCCCUAGUCACUGAUAGCUGCACAGGGUCUACUUCAGACACCAAUGACAUCAUCACCAGAUACGAGUCAAUGUUUGCCUCCAGGUACACUGCGGAGGAUCCUGCCUAUCAACCUUACAUGGACAAAGGAAUGGACCCGCCCCCAAUCGUUGAAAAUUACUUCCUCAGACAGAGAUCCAACUGGAAUGACAACCGCAGGGAUUCAAGAACAUAUGAGGACAGAGGCCACAAGCGCAGAUAUGAGGGUGCAGGUUUCUAUGACAACAGCAAGCGACAAAGGUCACAAUACGACAACCAAGACUAUCAUCACCAAGGGAGGGGGUGGGGUCACCCACAAAGGGGUCACCAUGGUGGAAACCAGUCAGGUGGUCAGUACCACCGCCACCCUGACUGGAGAGCCAGGGAUGGGCACGGAUAUCCACCCAACCAGAGGGGGAGACGUUACGAUGACAGAGAGCGAGGGCACUCAUGGGGAUCUUACGAGGCCAGACACGCCAUUCCACAUGCCCCUCCAGAAGACGAAUGGACAUAAUGUACUUCAUUAAUGACCUCAAUACUAUACAGCAAGUUUCCUCAGCUCACAUUGACUUGGAAUGCAGAUCACUGCCACUUACACUGGCUCAUCUGUGUUCUGAUAGGCUCAAGAAAAAAAUUGCACUUAAGAACAAAUUCCAUUGUCUUACUCCAUCAGAUUGGAAUACUUAUAUACCAGAAAAGACAAGUGAACAAGUGGUUGACACAUCUUCCAGGCUCAUCAGGGAGAACAUUUCAUUGAUAACAGAUGGGAUUACCUUGGUAUUAAAAAAACAAAGUAAGGGGCCAGCCAUAAUUCUCAUCAUUUUCAUAAGUGUACAAGAAGUAGACUUUUCACUAACCCCCCUUCAUGUACAUCAGCGGGUAAGAAAUGAUUAUAGGUGGAGAGCUCCAUUAGCCUAAUCCCUUAUUGCCGAGGCACAGUGAUAUACAUUUAAGUAUUGUAGUUAACAAAAAUGUUAAUUUCAAAUAAAACAUUGUUUAAAACAACAGCUGAAAAGUCAAGGCUUAAAAAACAGUGAAUACUAGUGGAGGAUAAAACAGAACGUGCGUAUGUGGCAUAAAGGAAGCGGCGUAGAGCUAGCUAGAAACACCCAUGAAACUUGAAAGUGACCGCCGAUUUGCAUGUUGACGAAUCAUACUUUUUCAUAUUCAGAAAAGUGUACAUGGGGUCUUUAACUAACUCCCUCCCCCUGUAUGGUUCGUAUGAUUGUGAAAAUGAUGAAAAAUAUGGGCGGCCCCUAAAUGAAUAAAUAAAUAAGUGUAUAAAAGGUCAUAUUGUGCUUCUCCAAAACUCCCCUUUUUGUUGACCUACAGUAUAGUUGGGGGAAAGUUCUAGUUUGUUAACUAUAUGCCAGUGAAAUGGCACAAGUUUUGUAGUUCAUCAGAGAUGCCCAUUCAUGGUGACAUACAAUUAAGAUUCCCAUGUGGAGUGUUUUAAAACAGCAGAACACUCCACUGUUCCAUUUGGGAUUGCAUAGUGCUUACAUGGGAACAGCUUCGGAAUGAUUGCCUAAAUAAGCCUUUUGCGAGUUAAGUUUGAAUAAAAUCUGGUACACUGAGUUAUCUGAUCGCACAUAAACACAAUUUGAAUUCUCUAGGCUAAAGACACCGUUAUUAUACCUCGUGAUUCAGGGCAAGCUUUUGCAUAGCAACUACCACCUGUGGAAUUGACUGGUUCCUUUGUGCCUUUCUUACCCAUUGAAAACGGUGUAUUGAUGGAAGGCAUCUGUAACUAAGCAAAAGUUUGCAAAAGGCUUAUUAGGUACAGCUUGUUUUUCGUAAUCAUGCCUGGUAGAUUGCCUAUUCUAAUUGGGCAUUGCUGACUGUUUUCUAAAUGGAACACCAAAUGGUCCUAUCUGGGAAUGAUUGCCCAGUUAGGAGUAGCCCACUUCACUACAAAUCAUAACUGAAGCACUGUUUAUUCCAAGUCCCCCCUGGACCAAACAUGGUGCUGUUUUGUUGUUUAGUUAAGCAGGAAGUUUUUGAGUUGGGUAUGUUUUUUUGUUUUAAAUUAUUGUCUGUUUGUGUUGGGACACUAGAGGGUGCUGUUGUGGCUUUAACCUCAAUUUAUACCAUGGACGUUAAAUAAAUGAUUUUCAGUAGUGUGAUUUUUGACAGUCAACCUUUGACUGUCACGUAAAAAUGUCUAUAAAACAGUCUGGACUCGCAGUGCUCUUGUACCGACUGAAACCACCAGCGGCCAUCUUACCAUGCCAAAUACAAUGGUGAUCAUGACUCCUGUGCCAUUGCAACUAUUGUUGCCACUGUCAUUUGGUUAACAAUAGUAACCAAGCCUUCGCACAACCUUUUUGGCAUGGUAAGAUGGCAGGCGGUGGAAUCAGUGACUUGUGUGGGCUAAUUAAAUUAAGGGCAUUGCGAUUCAAGAUUUUUGUAUAUGAUGUCUGUGAUUCAUACUCUGGCUUGCAGCUACUUUACGUAUCAUUUCAAAAUUCCUAUUGGUUGACUAUAGGACAGGGCCCUCCGACUGAUAUAUAGAUAAUAACAAGUGACUUGUGUUGAGUGAAUAAUGGGGGGGGUGUUGCUCCACUGAAACCACAUAGCCAUGGGAGUAAUGCAAUGUAGAGGCAUUUAUCGGUUAGUAUUGGCCACUUGAGAACACUUCACCUGAUAGCCAACCCAUAAUAAAUGUAGCGGUCAGACCGUUCCGUCCAAAACCUACGUGAUAAGAAUUUUGAAAUGGUGCCUUAUCUGCAAUUGGUCUAGUCUAAGAUGAUCUUGUUCCUGAAUUGGUCCAGUGGACCUGUACUAUAAGCACUAGCUCUGCAUACAGCGAUGUGGUGUAUCUUUUUUACAUCUAGGUUUGUAUGUUUCAACACUAAAUGCCUGAAAUGUAAACCUUGGAUUUUUACUACUCAGACAUAUCAUAUGUCUGCAAUUGUGGGAUGUAUUUCAGAUUUGAUAUGUCAGAAAUGCAAAGAGAUUUAACAUUCCAAGCAUUUAAUAGUUGAAAUUGAAAUCUAGUGUCUGAAUAAAACUGUUGUUGACUUUUCAGACAUUUCGUCCUUCACUAAAAGCAUUUCACUAACAUUGCUUGGUGAUUGAUUAAUAAAGGUCAUCUUGUAAUGCAGUCAUCUACGCUGGUUUUGACCGUUAUGUCCAUUAAAUAGUGAUACAGUAGCAGCUUAUGUGAUUGAAUCCAUGAGAGUUUGCCCCUCAUGUGGCUUGGCUUUGUUGUGUUUGUUGCUAAAGGAGUCUCAGAUCAGCUUUAACUGUGUGGCUUAUUAUGUGGAAAAAAUAUUGUGAAGAGUGAAUUUCAAAAAAGUUGAUGAAUGCUCUCCACAGACUUAAUUGUGUUUGGAAGCAACCUAUUAAAAAAGUUAGAUCUUGGUUGGAAAUAAAAAGUAAUACCAAUAAACUUGAAUUAGAAUCUAUUAAUAUAUCCUGUUUUAUUGGUACAUGUAACAGGUGUGAUCUCUUCAGUUUACUGUCAUUUCCCAUUUAAUGCAAAUGGUAGUCAGGCUCCAUCAACAGACUUUUGAUCCCCCUUGGAUCUCAAAUAAAAUUUUGAUGUUCUAA